This 217-nucleotide long non-coding RNA is filed under the name Daucus carota (carrot). Its description in RNAcentral is "long non-coding RNA (DCAR_LNC003156)". The record is from RNAcentral. Lineage: Eukaryota; Viridiplantae; Streptophyta; Magnoliopsida; Apiales; Apiaceae.
ACCAGGUGAAUUGCUUUUGGGUCUCGACUCUCGAGUCUCUCGACUUGUAUAUUAGUCGGGGUUUCUGCUUUUACUUUUUGCCUAGGCCAAGACUUUAGAGCAUUGUUUUGUCAAUUUCGCAAGUUGCAGGAGAAGUUCGAUCUUUUCCAGUAUGGCUAAUGAGUUACGGUUGCGAAUUUUAGAAGAAUAAUCUUUCAUAUCAUAUUACAGAUACACG